GCACUGUGCAAGCAUUUUUGUC
Molecule: microRNA, 22 nt
Filed under: Gallus gallus (chicken)
Lineage: Eukaryota; Metazoa; Chordata; Aves; Galliformes; Phasianidae
Description: MIR-c24
Source: RNAcentral